GUUUGCCCUCUUCUCUUACAAAAAAAAUUCAAGGGCUAAACAGAAGAAUAAUCAUCAUCAAACAUUGAAUGAUCUAUAUUGGCACUGAACAUCGCUUUAAGGAUUUUAGAAUUAUCAAGGAAGCAAAUUAGAUACGGCAAUAUACCCCAAACGGAGAUUCUUCAUAUUUUUUAUAGCAUUCUGUGGCAUUCGGUUCUACAGAUGAAUAAAUGCAGUACAACGUACAACCGAUGGACCUCUAGAAUGAAGAUAUCUGUGGUAAGUUGUUAAAGUGCUAAUACAGGACAGUGUUAGUGUUCAGUUAAUGCAAUUAGUUCGAAACGCACCAAAUGGACUGCAACUACAACACAAUAAGGCAGAGAAACGUCCGACUCUUAAUAAUUAUGCUUUUGAAUUUAAAAAGUACUCAAAGAAUGCGUUAGUAAUAAUUGUUUUAAAUAAGGUAUAUGGAUGUUUACUUGACUUAAUAUAACUUACAAUUGGUUUAUUUAAAAAUGAUGACGUGAACCAUUUAUUCAUAUAAUGUGCAAUAAUCUAGAAAUUUCGAAAUCUCAGUAGGCCCUGUGUUAGCACAAUCGCGACUAAAGCUCUGUUACAAAAUUACUAUUGUUAUGUAAUGUUUUUACUUAUUUAAAUAUUAAUUUACAAGUGUGAUAAUCUCAUCUACAUUGAAUUUCAAGUGUGAACUGCAUAUAUUUUGAUAGAUGUUGUAUAAUACAUAUGAAAAUCUUGUUGACCUCCAGUUAAUUUUUUUUUACUAAUAAGUCUAUCUUCAAGUUUUUAAAUAAUUCAUUAAUUAGCUGUAGUACUAGUUAUAUCGCUAAAUUAUUAACAUUUAAUGACAUCUUUGUGUGACAUUCCUUACAGGUUCUACUAUGUACCUACUUCUGAUUAGCACAAACGUACCACGUAAUUUUAUACGAAUACUUAUUGGGUUACGUUUGGGUUUCCACUUGACUACCAUAAAUCAAGUAUUUAAUUAAUAUAGCUUCCAGAUUUUCUGUUAUUCCUAAUGCCAUUCCUUCCAUAAACGUAGACCUAUCGGCGAAGAAAUGAAACGCCCAGUGAUUUGUAGAACUUUUAUAUUUAGUUAACAAAAAAAUCAGAAAAAAUCGAUGUCCCGCCUUUACCCCCUUUACCAUAAAAAAACCUGUGCCCUUAAUUCUUAGCAGACGACAAAUAAUGGCGUCUAGUUACUUGUCGCGCCGACUGAUUUUCAACUGUAGUUUUCCGUCACCAGUGUUCUAAAAGACAUCGAUAUCAGACCUGCUCCAUGCACCAUGUUCCAUGCAAACACGAAGAAAUGGCAGCCAUCAUUCUUUUACCACCUUUUUUUCGUCAGAUUAUCUGGUCCAACAAGCUUCUCCAGAUGAUAUAUGAGCUAUAAUUUCUAUUUGGCUUUCCUUGUACUGCUGUAAGCAGAUAUCUUCGUCAUUUUGCUUCAGUAACAAUACCAUAUUGUGCUCUUGUCAAAGGCUGUUUUCUUUUUCAUUCUUAUUUACGUAAGAAUCGAGUUAAUUUUACUUUAAUCCACUUUGUAGCAAAACCAUAUACCAGAAAUUUUCAAUCCCCGUCGCCAAUGUUUCUUUCAGGAUCAAUAAUUUCUUAUCAAGAAGUGUCAUUCUCUACUUAUUUCUCAAUUACAAAACUAUAAUGAAUAUUGCUUGAAGAAACUUUUCGCCCUACUGUGACACGUUUUUAAUACUUGCGAAAUAAGAAGACUCAAGAAAGAAGAUAUGACUUGAUCUCCCAUGCUGGAAGGGAAUUAGGUGGGUACUGUCGCAGAACAUCUGCUUAUCAGUUCUGAGGAGUUAAGUAAUUACUUACUUAAGUUAAUUGUAAAAAUAAAAAACGGUUUAAACUUUUACGAAACAUGUUCAAUGGUCAAACCGUGAAUAUUGUGAUUUGAAAAACUUUUUCGAUGGACGUAGUACAAACCGCUUACAAAUCUACGUAUUUCCGCGUCCGGCAAAGUUAAUUGUUAGGAUUUCAUUUUCAAUUAUUUCAUCGCAGACAGCGCGAUUAUGAUGUAAAUUUCAUUGUUAACACCGGAAAAAAAUAUAAACCAAUUUUAUGUAAGCUCUACUUUGCAACUAUUGCGAAAAGUGCUUGUACGUAAAUUGAUUCUCGAAAGUAAAAAAAUAAACCUAGGAUACAACCCUGGUUUACAUAAUGUGUCAUCGGUAGGGUCGUUCUAGUGUGAAAACUAGCGCCAGACAAAUUUUUAUCAUCUUGGCAGUAAACAUAAAAAAACAAUCAUAAAAAAAAGGGACCCACCUGCAAGCACUACCUUUCGGAUAAAAAAAGAAUUAUCAAAAUCGCUCCAUUAGCGGCGGAGUUUUGCCGUAACACACAAAAAAAACAUACGAAUUGAGUACCUUCUUCUUUUGGGAAGUCGGUCAAAAAUUAAUAAGUUUUUCAAUAUAAAUCGGGGAGGUUUGAGGAGGAGUACUUUAUUAAAUACAAUGUAAUGUACUUCAUAUCUUUGAUUUUACAGGAAUGUCAAACACCUAUGGAAUAGUUGAAAGGAUUUAAUUUGUUACUUUAUAUCUCUGUUACAACAAUGUAUCAAUUCACAUAUGUUACUCGAUUUGCUGGAAAUUUGCUUAAAAAGCGUCCGUUAAUCACGUGAUGCUGCACAGAAGUACGGAACAAUAACGAAAUAUCACGAGGGUCGGGGGAAUUUAAUGAGAUGUCCUUUGAAUUUUUCUGUUUGAUGAAACUACGACUACCAUAUCAGCAGAGGGGUGGGGAAGGGUUAAAAAGUAGCACGUGACUAAUGGACGACGCCUUACCGUGAAUUUCAAUUGUUGUGAUAACCUAUAUCAGAACAUAAUUGCCAUCUCUUCUUUUAAAUAGAAUGAUGUGGUGAGUUGCCUUACGUACUCGAACCAGCAUUUAACGUGUCACCUUUGCAGCAAACAGCACGUCACCUUUUCUUACUGCUUCCUCGCAAUUUCAAAUGAACGAUCUUCUAUAUUUGUAAGUUGCAAUCUACAGAUUUUAGACUUUUUUAUUUAAUUACAGGAAUUGUUUUUUCACGAACUAUAAAACACAGUUAUGUACUAAAUUAAUUUAACCUUGAUAAUAAUACUCGAAUAUGAUCUACAAAAGGAUUUAUAAGUUACUAGUAUUUUAUUCUUUUAUAGUAGUUUAUUUAAACGAGUAGUAUAAUUUCAAAUUCUCGAUCAAAAGCUUUUGCUGAGGUUGAACUUUUGUCAGUCAAACAAACAUCAUUUAAUUUAGUGACUCGUCUAAUUGAGAGCUUAAAUAGUUAUCGGUGUCGAUAAAAUAUGUUGGAAGUAUUAUUAAAAUUGGGAAUUUGUAAAUGUAGAAGUGCAGUAACAUCUUUUUAUGUGAAAUUUUCUUCAGAAAAUCUCAUUUGGGUAUAUACAGUGACCGUUGUUUUAACUCUAUAGUCGUUUGAAUACGCCUUAUAAAGUUUGCUAAAGAAAACACCGGUGAUUUCAUGCUGCAUUAGUUGGCGUUACGUUGCAAAAACGGACUUGUUUAUGUAAUGGUCAUUGUACGUUCUGUCUGCUGUAAAUGUAUUCGAGAUUUUUAAAUUAACUGUCAACAUAAAUACAUCUUUAGUGCUGAACAUGUAGCUGUAUUAUGCCGAGACGUAGCAAUUACAAAUUAAUUAGAAAAAUCUUGUUGAAAGAGUGAACAUGCUUACGAAAAAUUAUUUCAUUUAAUAUUUUUAACUCUUUAGUACAAACAUCUACAUUGACUUCAUAUAAAGCUUAAAUAUUGCCUAUAAUUGUUCUAAUCGGCGUCAACUUUUACUUUUGGGUAACUUAUAAAUAUCACCAGGUUUGAAGAAAACAACGUUGAAUAACUUGAAUUUACUGACAUUCUAAUCUUUAUUUGUUCAAAAUGCUGUAAUUAAUUUAACGGUUUCAUGUUGUUGAUUCCAAUAUAACAACUUUGUAUUGUAACUUAAUUACUAUUGAUUUGCAAUAUACGAAUUUAAAUACCAGCUGAUACCAACUAUAUUACAGUAACUCUCUAGGGGAAUGGUAGCCAACGUGUUAAUUCUAUAUUGUUUUUAAUUCAUAAAAACUGACACAAACAUUAUGUUUACAGGUAUCGGUGUUUAGCUAAGUGAGAUCUUGUCCCAUCUUCUGCAACAGGUAGAUAUCGCUUUUAGCGACCUUCGUAUGGCGUACCCGAAGCAAUUAUUUAAACAAGAGUCUAUCGCAGUGGUCGGCGCAGGCGGGGAACGUUCAUACACUUGGUUGUAAAUUGUUGCUAAUCUUUAACAUUGUACAUUAAGCCUGCUACACACCUUCAGUAACUGCUUUGUAACCGUACAGUUAAAGCUGAAGGUGUGUAGCUGACUUUACAUAAUAGAAUUUAAUAGAUAAACAUCUUGAAAAUUGAAGUAAGUCCUGUCACUAUGUGGUCUCUUAAGUUCAAUUAGUGAAAAAAAAGAUAAUGUAUUUUGGAACAUUUAUUUCGGCAACAGGAUAUAUACGUUAUUAUAUAGAUGUUAAAAACAUUUUAUCUAAUAAAAGGAGUCCCUUUAAAAUACACUUUAUAUGUGUAAAUGUAUAUUUUCGCUCUAUAAAUUAUAUGAAUUAAAGUCCAUGAGUCGAAUUUUAAAGCUUAGAGAAAUACUAUUUUUAUACAAAGUUAAGUAAAAAUACUUUUACUAUAAUAGUCUACAAAUGUUAGCAAUAAUUAACUUUUUUUUCUAUUAGUAAUUAAGUAAUUUCCCCGUACAAAGAAAUAAUCCAAGUGAAAUGGUUUGUUUUCAGUUGCAAUUUAGCCAUAGACAAUAUGUACUUGGUGCCAGCCUCGGUUGUGUUGUUAUUGAUUGUUCGAGAUUUAUAAAAUAAGCUGUGAUUUGUUAAAAUUCCUUGUUGGUUGUUGUUUUAAUGUAGAUAGAUUUUAUGUAAUAAGUAUAUCUGAUCUCUUGUAAAU
Papilio polytes (common Mormon) is the source of this 4929-nucleotide long non-coding RNA. RefSeq lists it as uncharacterized. The transcript is spliced from 4 exons. The record is from RefSeq and is a predicted model, not a curated record. NCBI's taxonomy places the organism in Eukaryota, Metazoa, Arthropoda, Insecta, Lepidoptera, Papilionidae.